GGCGUCCGAGUUGUAAUUUGUAGAGGAUGCUAUUGAGUUGUCACCGGUCUAAGUUCCUUGGAACAGGACGUCAUAGAGGGUGAGAAUCCCGUAUGUGACCGGCCAGACGCUCUCUGUAUAGCUCCUUCGACGAGUCGGGUUGUUUGGGAAUGCAGCCCUAAAUGGGAGGUAAAUUUCUUCUAAAGCUAAAUACCGGCCAGAGACCGAUAGCGCACAAGUAGAGUGAUCGAAAGAUGAAAAGCACUUUGGAAAGAGAGUUAAAAAGCACGUGAAAUUGUUGAAAGGGAAGCGCUUGCAAUCAGUCUCGACGGCGGCUGUUCGGCCUCUCUUCUGAGUGGUUUAUUCAGUCGCCGCCGGGCCAGCAUCAGUUCUGGCGGUCGGAUAAAGACGCGGGGAAUGUAGCUCCUCUCGGGGAGUGUUAUAGCCUCGCGUGCAAUACGGCCUGCCGGGACUGAGGUCCGCGCUUCGGCUAGGAUGCUGGCGAAAUGGUUGUAAGCGGCCCGUCUUGAAACACGGACCAAGGAGUCUAACAUCUAUGCGAGUGUUUGGGUGUCAAACCCGUACGCGUAAUGAAAGUGAACGGAGGUGGGAACCGCAAGGUGCACCAUCGACCGAUCCUGAUGUCUUCGGAUGGAUUUGAGUAAGAGCAUAGCUGUUGGGACCCGAAAGAUGGUGAACUAUGCCUGAAUAGGGUGAAGCCAGAGGAAACUCUGGUGGAGGCUCGCAGCGGUUCUGACG
RNAcentral lists this ribosomal RNA (738 nucleotides) under Elsinoe rosarum. RNAcentral's name for it is "eukaryotic LSU rRNA". It matches the Rfam family "Eukaryotic large subunit ribosomal RNA", at positions 133 to 891 of the family's 3401-position model. Lineage: Eukaryota; Fungi; Ascomycota; Dothideomycetes; Myriangiales; Elsinoaceae. The record is from RNAcentral.